This 300-nucleotide ribosomal RNA is filed under the name uncultured Methanocaldococcus sp. Its description in RNAcentral is "bacterial SSU rRNA". It matches the Rfam family "Bacterial small subunit ribosomal RNA", at positions 496 to 795 of the family's 1533-position model. The record is from RNAcentral. Lineage: Archaea; Methanobacteriati; Methanobacteriota; Methanococci; Methanococcales; Methanocaldococcaceae.
GCGAACGCGGGGUGAGCAGCCGGGGGAAGAACGAUGGGUCGAGCGUUGAGCGGAAUUAGUGGGCGUGAAGGGUGCGUAGGUGGUUACGUAAGGUAGGUGUUAAAGUCCCGGGCUUAACCUGGGGAUUGCGCCUGAUACUGCGUGGCUAGAGUACUGUAGAGGAAAGUAGAAUUUCCGGUGUAGCGGUGAAAUGCGUAGAUAUCGGAAGGAAUAUCGGUGGCGAAGGCGACUUUCUGGACAGAUACUGACACUGAGGCACGAAAGCGUGGGGAGCAAACAGGAUUAGAUACCCUAGUAGUC